This 323-nucleotide long non-coding RNA is filed under the name Medicago truncatula (barrel medic). RNAcentral describes it as "long non-coding RNA (MTRU_LNC008426)". Lineage: Eukaryota; Viridiplantae; Streptophyta; Magnoliopsida; Fabales; Fabaceae. The record is from RNAcentral.
AUCAUCACAGCAAAUCACAGACGAGAGACGGUUUCAUAACAGCAUCAAAGCAAACCAAAAUCAACACCGAUCAAAACUCCGAAUCAAAGAAAGGUAAAAGAGGUAUAAAAACUUCUCUCUUUUUCAUAUAUAAGUUGAACUGUGUUGAUUUUGAAAACUUUAGACUUGAAAUCGAAAAAGAAGUAGAAGAAGAGUAGGAGUAGAGAAUAGAUCGACACAAGAGAACAAAAAAAAACUAAAGAAUUGAUUUCAGGGUUCCGGCGCGGUGGCGCCGCCGUACCGAUCGGCCAACCGCCGCCGGAACCCCAUCCCUUCCAUCGGAG